Helianthus annuus (common sunflower) is the source of this 237-nucleotide long non-coding RNA. RefSeq lists it as uncharacterized. NCBI's taxonomy places the organism in Eukaryota, Viridiplantae, Streptophyta, Magnoliopsida, Asterales, Asteraceae. The transcript is spliced from 3 exons. The record is from RefSeq and is a predicted model, not a curated record.
CGUAUAUGGAGAGGAAGAAAGAGGAGAAAUCCUCUCAAGAACAAGAAUGCAAAUUCAGCCAAAUCAAACCCAAGAUCAAAGGAAAAACAUUGCAUGGAUGAAGAUCUCUCAUCAUCUAGCUCUAAUAAGCAAGUGAGGAAUCAUAUCAAGAUGGACUCAAGCAUGAAAGGCUAACGGGUCAAGAGGAGGCAAGGAAGUGGAUACGGACACGGAUGCACAAGGUUGUACGAAUCACGG